This 433-nucleotide ribosomal RNA is filed under the name uncultured bacterium. RNAcentral describes it as "partial 16S ribosomal RNA". It matches the Rfam family "Bacterial small subunit ribosomal RNA", at positions 29 to 507 of the family's 1533-position model. The record is from RNAcentral.
AACGAACGCUGGCGGCAUGCCUAACACAUGCAAGUCGAACGAGACCUUCGGGUCUAGUGGCGCACGGGUGCGUAACGCGUGGGAACCUGCCCUUAGGUUCGGAAUAACUCCCCGAAAGGGGUGCUAAUACCGGAUCAUGUCUUCGGACCAAAGAUUUAUCGCCUUUGGAUGGGCCCGCGUUGGAUUAGCUAGUUGUUAGGGUAAAAGCCUACCAAGGCGACGAUCCAUAGCUGGUCUGAGAGGAUGAUCAGCCACACUGGGACUGAGACCCGGCCCAGACUCCUACGGGAGGCAGGAGUGGGGAAUAUUGGACAAUGGGCGAAAGCCUGAUCCAGCAAGGCCGCGUGAGUGAUGAAGGCCUGAGGGUUGUAAAGCUCUUUUACCCGGGAUGAUAAUGACAGUACCGGGAGAAUAAGCGCCGGCUAACUACGUG